GAAAAGAAACCAACAGGGAUUGCCCUAGUAACGGCGAGUGAAGCGGCAAUAGCUCAAAUUUGAAAUCUGGCCUCGGCCCGAGUUGUAAUUUGCAGAGGAUGUUUCUGGCGCGGUGCCUUCCGAGUUCCCUGGAACGGGACGCCACAGAGGGUGAGAGCCCCGUAUGGUUGGACACUAAGCCUGUGUGAAACUCCUUCGACGAGUCGAGUAGUUUGGGAAUGCUGCUCAAAAUGGGAGGUAAAUCUCUUCUAAAGCUAAAUACCGGCCAGAGACCGAUAGCGCACAAGUAGAGUGAUCGAAAGAUGAAAAGCACCUUGAAAAGGGGGUUAAACAGUACGUGAAAUUGUUGAAAGGGAAGCGCUUGUGACCAGACUUGCGCCGGGCGGCUCAUCCGGGGUUCUCCCCGGUGCACUCCGCCCGGCUCAGGCCAGCAUCGGUUCUCGUUGGGGGAUAAGAACGGCAGGAACGUGGCCCUCCUUCGGGUGGGUGUUAUAGCCUGCCGUACGAUACCCUGACGGGGACCGAGGUUCGCGCUCCGCAAGGAUGCUGG
RNAcentral lists this ribosomal RNA (550 nucleotides) under Chrysoporthe cubensis. RNAcentral's name for it is "eukaryotic LSU rRNA". It matches the Rfam family "Eukaryotic large subunit ribosomal RNA", at positions 56 to 629 of the family's 3401-position model. The record is from RNAcentral. Lineage: Eukaryota; Fungi; Ascomycota; Sordariomycetes; Diaporthales; Cryphonectriaceae.